GAUCGCCUACGGGGGGCAGCAGUGGGGAAUAUUGGACAAUGGGGGAAACCCUGAUCCAGCGACGCCGCGUGAGUGAAGAAGUAUUUCGGUACGUAAAGCUCUAUCAGCAGGAAAGAAAAUGACGGUACCUGACUAAGAAGCCCCGGCUAACUACGUGCCAGCAGCCGCGGUAAUACGUAGGGGGCAAGCGUUAUCCGGAUUUAUUGGGUUUAAAGGGUGCGUAGGCGGCCUGCUAAGUCUGGAGUGAAAGGUACCGGCUCAACCGGUACAGGCUCUGGAAACUGGCGGGCUAGAGAGCAGGAGAG
RNAcentral lists this ribosomal RNA (305 nucleotides) under uncultured bacterium. Its description in RNAcentral is "bacterial SSU rRNA". It matches the Rfam family "Bacterial small subunit ribosomal RNA", at positions 333 to 656 of the family's 1533-position model. The record is from RNAcentral.